Molecule: ribosomal RNA, 371 nt
Filed under: uncultured bacterium
Lineage: Bacteria
Description: bacterial SSU rRNA
Rfam family: Bacterial small subunit ribosomal RNA
Source: RNAcentral
AGAGGUCCCAAGCGUUGUUCGGAUUCACUGGGCGUAAAGGGUGCGUAGGCGGUCGGGUAAGUCUGACGUGAAAUCUUCAAGCUUAACUUGGAACCUGCGUCGGAUACUAUUCGGCUAGAGGAAUGGAGGGGAGACUGGAAUACUUGGUGUAGCAGUGAAAUGCGUAGAUAUCAAGUGGAACACCAGUGGCGAAGGCGAGUCUCUGGACAUUUCCUGACGCUGAGGCACGAAAGCCAGGGGAGCAAACGGGGUUAGAUACCCCGGUAGUCCUGGCCCUAAACGGUGCGCAUUUGCUGUAAGAGGAAUCGACCCCUUUUGUGGCGAAGCUAACGCGAUAAAUGCGCCGCCUGGGAAGUACGGCCGCAAGGUUA